GCAGCCAUCAUUUAAAGAAAGCGUAAUAGCUCACUGGUCGAGUCGGCCUGCGCGGAAGAUGUAACGGGGCUAAACCAUGCACCGAAGCUGCGGCAGCGACACUGUGUGUUGUUGGGUAGGGGAGCGUUCUGUAAGCCUGUGAAGGUGGCCUGUGAGGGUUGCUGGAGGUAUCAGAAGUGCGAAUGCUGACAUAAGUAACGAUAAAGCGGGUGAAAAGCCCGCUCGCCGGAAGACCAAGGGUUCCUGUCCAACGUUAAU
Molecule: ribosomal RNA, 258 nt
Filed under: Salmonella enterica subsp. enterica serovar Typhi
Lineage: Bacteria; Pseudomonadati; Pseudomonadota; Gammaproteobacteria; Enterobacterales; Enterobacteriaceae
Description: partial 23S ribosomal RNA
Rfam family: Bacterial large subunit ribosomal RNA
Source: RNAcentral